Episyrphus balteatus (marmalade hoverfly) is the source of this 1128-nucleotide long non-coding RNA. RefSeq lists it as uncharacterized. The transcript has 4 exons. The record is from RefSeq and is a predicted model, not a curated record. Lineage: Eukaryota; Metazoa; Arthropoda; Insecta; Diptera; Syrphidae.
CCGAGUUAGCUUUCCAACCAAUCAUAUUCCAGUACUGGAAAGCCAAUCUUCUCGGUUAUUAUUAUCUAUGGGUAACCAAUCUAUGUAAUAAAUUGUCAAAGGUCUAUACAUUCAUGAUUGACAUUCUACAUUCUGAAAACAACACGAAGAAGGAGAACAAGAUGGCAGCAACUUGGUGAGUAUUAAAUUUAUUUAAUCUUUUCAAGGUAUUUCCUUUUUUUUUUUUUCUUUUAUAUUUUUUUUUCAGGUACUUCUAACAGAAUAACCGGAUUCUUUAUUUGAGCAUCAACAGGCGUCCGCAACAAAUUUUCUUAUGAGAAUAUUCCCCGGAAUAUUCGAGUAAGAAACAAAAAGGUCGCCUGUGGUUGUAUUUCUACUAAAUCUUUGAACCAGUGGGAAGGAUGGAGUUUUCUAUAGCUUAAGGCAUAGAAUGAUGACAUGGAUGGGCCACACGAUUUCCGGUACACGUGUUUGAAUUUUGCAACAUGAAACCAGCAAGAACCAUCAUUUAGUUGCUGAAAGAUGUCGGUGUUCAAACUGAGCACCGACUUCUAAAUGUUCUUGCCUGGUGAAAAUGGGAAUUCUUGCCUGGUGAAAAAUGAUUUUCACUAAAAUGAAAUUCCAACCCAGGCGGAAUAGUUUUGGUGCCAAAAAAAAAUUGUUUAGCUACCAUUUUGAUCUUGGUUGCACUAAGUUUUUGUCCGUGGGGAGCAACCCAUGUUAAAAGCCGGGCUUAACUUAGGCUUGGUAGUUUCAUUCAUGAAAAAAACUCAUUUGACGCAGACCUAACUGUUCAGACAACUUUAUACAGGAUCCAGAAUUCAAUGGCAACUUAUUUCAACGUUAGACAACAUAAUUCCAGAACAUACAACUACUUCCUAUCUAUGUCGCAGAAGUGGAGAGGAAACCCGGUGAGUGAUUAAUAAUAAGUUUUAUUUUAAGUAAUUAUACGAACUGGCCUGGCAUUUAAAGGUCAUGUAUUUGAUACAUAAUUUAAGGUUCCAAAGUAGCUAACUAAAAAAAAUUAAAAACAAUUAACACAAAUCAUGCUCAAAUACAAUGGUACCAGAAAAUAAAUAAUAAAACACAGUGGACUUGUACCAUAGUUAAAAAAAAACAAAUAAAUUA